AGCAGGUCUGUGUGGGUUAUCAGAACUUAUUAACAUUAGUGUCAGUAAAGUUGGUAUACCACCCCCCCCCACCACUGCAAAAUUUGACUGGCUUAAA
RNAcentral lists this non-coding RNA (97 nucleotides) under Cavia porcellus (domestic guinea pig). The record is from RNAcentral. Lineage: Eukaryota; Metazoa; Chordata; Mammalia; Rodentia; Caviidae.